AGUGAGAGAUCACGUACCUGUGGCUGACCACGCCCCCUUGGUCACGGAACCACUCCUCCUCCAUUUCCCUUCAGAAAAGAUCACGUCACCCAGGUACAUCAAUUGAACAUGGCAGAACAAUUUGCAAGAAGACUAGCCAUAAACCAUUGUAUCAAAGUUGGAUGAGGCAACCCCAGGAAACAGGUCUCUGAGUCAUCCAGCUUCUGGAACCUGGCCAUGUAGGCCAUGUUGAACAUGGACUUCCUCUAGUGAUAUGGGCAUCAGGAGAGAACAGUCAUGAGUUGGCCCUCCCAUAAGCUCUAAGCCACCAUGGCUGCAGGGCAUCUUGUAAGCAGGACAGUUUGUGGGUCAAAGACUUUGUGGGAGCCACCUCUGGUUAAGGAAGAUGGCUGGUUCUUCUUAAGCAUCAUUUCUCAAUAAAAGUUUAUUUGGGUUCUUAGUGGAUAUUUAGCAGUUUUGUGAACAAAGUAAAUAUAUUGAGGUCCAAGAUUCUCCUCUAAGCAUCUCACAACUCCAAGGUAGCCCCAUCCAUUUGAGGUUGGAAGAUCGUGCUUUAACAAUGUAUGAAGUUAUUUGAUAGUAAGAUGACUUAUUCAGGAUUCCUGCCUUCUGCUGCUCACUGUUAAGUUUCUUCCACUUGGAAUGCUAGUGAGUCUCAAGUAUGAGACAUGUUCCUAGUGAGUCUCAAGUGUGAGACAUGUUCAUGAGACCUAGAUAUGUCAUAGCAUUCCUGGUCACAGUCGAAUGGAACAAUUGCCUUCUUCAAACUAUUUCAACAGUGCUAUAGUAGAUGCCAUCAGUCAGGGCCUGCUCUUAUCUUCUAAAGAAAGCUACUGCUGAAAAGGAACUAAGACACGAUAAGCUGACAAAACACAUUUAAUGGAAAGGAGCUCACUCACAUCUGCUCUUAGCAUACGCCUCUGAUUACAGAGUGCUCUACUAACCUCUCUGUGAUGACAGCUUUAGGCACCUCUACCUCCUAACUUUAAAGAAAUUAAAGUUUACAGUGCAGACAGAAAACCAUCUUACUCACCAAACUCUGAAGUCAUAGAUCAUUCCCUUAAGUGUAGAAACAAAAGCAUGCAGUCUUGAAGAAAUUAAAGUGCUUAUUUUGUGUGUGUGUGUGUGUGUGUGUGAAGCAGCUUUACAAUGAAGAAAUUACAUCACAAAUUCCUCAAACUACAAAGUCUGUUACUCAGAUAAAAACUCUCAUAAUAAUAGGUGAUUGUUCUUGAACAUGCAUGAUAUCAUUAUUUGAUGAAAACCUUUAAACAUUUUAGACUUUGUGAAGGUCUUUCACAGUCAUUUAUAAUUGUUAGAGUAGCUGUUCAUAUUAGGAAAAUAGUAUAGAUGCUUAAGCUCUCUUAUUUAUUCAUAAUCAUAAUAUUAAUAAAUUAUUUCUUUAAACUUCAUUGGAUGAAUUACAUACUUUUCUGUCAAAAAUGUGAAUGCGAUUUAGUGUACUCAAUUGCACAAGUUUCUGAAGUAAAACACUUGGUUUCACCUUAAUUUUCUCAUUAAGUAAAUAUAAAAAUAAUGGCAAUCAAAUGCCUCCCAAAGAUAUUUCAUAAAACAUGUAAAGACUGCAAUAUCAUGGUGUAAUUUUUGUAGAUACAAGAUAUUAAAUGGAAAUGAGUCUUGCAUGACUAUCGAGGUAAUUGAACAAUGUUUCAUUAUUAUGAAGUGCAGACAAGAGUCACUCAUAGCCCA
Long non-coding RNA from Mesocricetus auratus (golden hamster), 1710 nucleotides. RefSeq lists it as uncharacterized. The transcript has 3 exons. The record is from RefSeq and is a predicted model, not a curated record. Lineage: Eukaryota; Metazoa; Chordata; Mammalia; Rodentia; Cricetidae.